CGGGGUGGAGCAGCCUGGUAGCUCGUCGGGCUCAUAACCCGAAGGUCGUCGGUUCAAAUCCGGCCCCCGCAACCAAUCAAAUUUGAAGAAGUAAGUUUCUACAAGUGUAGAAAGACGGACGCGGGGUGGAGCAGCCUGGUAGCUCGUCGGGCUCAUAACCCGAAGGUCGUCGGUUCAAAUCCGGCCCGCGCAAGCCUGAUGCAGCCAUGCCGCGUGUAUGAAGAAGGCCUUCGGGUUGUAAAGUACUUUCAGCGGGGAGGAAGGUGUUGAGGUUAAUAACCUCAGCGAUUGACGUUACCCGCAGAAGAAGCACCGGCUAACUCCGUGCCAGCAGCCGCGGUAAUACGGAGGGUGCAAGCGUUA
RNAcentral lists this ribosomal RNA (363 nucleotides) under Enterobacter hormaechei subsp. xiangfangensis. RNAcentral describes it as "partial 16S ribosomal RNA". It matches the Rfam family "Bacterial small subunit ribosomal RNA", at positions 342 to 543 of the family's 1533-position model. The record is from RNAcentral. Lineage: Bacteria; Pseudomonadati; Pseudomonadota; Gammaproteobacteria; Enterobacterales; Enterobacteriaceae.